GGGCGUUAAGUUGCAGGGUAUAGACCCGAAACCCGGUGAUCUAGCCAUGGGCAGGUUGAAGGUUGGGUAACACUAACUGGAGGACCGAACCGACUAAUGUUGAAAAAUUAGCGGAUGACCUGUGGCUGGGGGUGAAAGGCCAAUCAAACCGGGAGAUAGCUGGUUCUCCCCGAAAGCUAUUUAGGUAGCGCCUCGUGAAUUCAUCUCCGGGGGUAGAGCACUGUUUCGGCUAGGGGGCCAUCCCGGCUUACCAACCCGAUGCAAACUGCGAAUACCGGAGAAUGUUAUCACGGGAGACACACGGCGGGUGCUAACGUCCGUCGUGAAGAGGGAAACAACCCAGACCGCCAGCUAAGGUCCCAAAGUCAUGGUUAAGUGGGAAACGAUGUGGGAAGGCCCAGACAGCCAGGAUGUUGGCUUAGAAGCAGCCAUCAUUUAAAGAAAGCGUAAUAGCUCACUGGUCGAGUCGGCCUGCGCGGAAGAUGUAACGGGGCUAAACCAUGCACCGAAGCUGCGGCAGCGACGCUGAUGCGUUGUUGGGUAGGGGAGCGUUCUGUAAGCCUGCGAAGGUGGCCUGUGAGGGUUGCUGGAGGUAUCAGAAGUGCGAAUGCUGACAUAAGUAACGAUAAAGCGGGUGAAAAGCCCGCUCGCCGGAAGACCAAGGGUUCCUGUCCAACGUUAAUCGGGGCAGGGUGAGUCGACCCCUAAGGCGAGGCCGAAAGGCGUAGUCGAUGGGAAACGGGUUAAUAUUCCCGUACUUGGUGUUACUGCGAAGGGGGGACGGAGAAGGCUAUGUUGGCCGGGCGACGGUUGUCCCGGUUUAAGCGUGUAGGUGUGUGUUCCAGGUAAAUCCGGUUCACUUUAACACUGAGGCGUGAUGACGAGGCACUACGGUGCUGAAGCAACAAAUGCCCUGCUUCCAGGAAAAGCCUCUAAGCAUCAGGUAACAUCAAAUCGUACCCCAAACCGACACAGGUGGUCAGGUAGAGAAUACCAAGGCGCUUGAGAGAACUCGGGUGAAGGAACUAGGCAAAAUGGUGCCGUAACUUCGGGAGAAGGCACGCUGACACGUAGGUGAAGUGAUUUACUCAUGGAGCUGAAGUCAGUCGAAGAUACCAGCUGGCUGCAACUGUUUAUUAAAAACACAGCACUGUGCAAACACGAAAGUGGACGUAUACGGUGUGACGCCUGCCCGGUGCCGGAAGGUUAAUUGAUGGGGUCAGCGCAAGCGAAGCUCCUGAUCGAAGCCCCGGUAAACGGCGGCCGUAACUAUAACGGUCCUAAGGUAGCGAAAUUCCUUGUCGGGUAAGUUCCGACCUGCACGAAUGGCGUAAUGAUGGCCAGGCUGUCUCCACCCGAGACUCAGUGAAAUUGAACUCGCUGUGAAGAUGCAGUGUACCCGCGGCAAGACGGAAAGACCCCGUGAACCUUUACUAUAGCUUGACACUGAACAUUGAGCCUUGAUGUGUAGGAUAGGUGGGAGGCUUUGAAGUGU
RNAcentral lists this ribosomal RNA (1495 nucleotides) under Salmonella enterica subsp. enterica serovar Mbandaka. Its description in RNAcentral is "partial 23S ribosomal RNA". It matches the Rfam family "Bacterial large subunit ribosomal RNA", at positions 690 to 2165 of the family's 2925-position model. Lineage: Bacteria; Pseudomonadati; Pseudomonadota; Gammaproteobacteria; Enterobacterales; Enterobacteriaceae. The record is from RNAcentral.